RNAcentral lists this ribosomal RNA (253 nucleotides) under uncultured bacterium. Its description in RNAcentral is "partial 16S ribosomal RNA". It matches the Rfam family "Bacterial small subunit ribosomal RNA", at positions 524 to 776 of the family's 1533-position model. The record is from RNAcentral.
UACGUAGGGUGCGAGCGUUAAUCGGAAUUACUGGGCGUAAAGCGUGCGCAGGCGGUUUUGUAAGCCAGAUGUGAAAUCCCCGGGCUUAACCUGGGAAUGGCAUUUGGGACUGCAAGGCUCGAGUGCGGCAGAGGAGACUGGAAUUCCUGGUGUAGCAGUGAAAUGCGUAGAUAUCAGGAAGAACACCCGUGGCGAAGGCGGUUCUCUGGGACGGUACUGACGCUGAGACGCGAAAGCGUGGGGAGCGAACAGG